RNAcentral lists this ribosomal RNA (574 nucleotides) under uncultured archaeon. RNAcentral describes it as "bacterial SSU rRNA". It matches the Rfam family "Archaeal small subunit ribosomal RNA", at positions 63 to 643 of the family's 1478-position model. The record is from RNAcentral.
GUGUCUUCGGACGCCGGCAUACGGCUCAGUAACACGNNNNNNCCUACCCUCAGGACUGAGAUAACCCCGGGAAACUGGGGCNAAUAUUAGAUAGAUAAAAGAUACUGGAAUGUUCUUUUAUCCAAAGCUUUUGCGCCUGAGGAUGGGCCUGCGUCCGAUUAGGUUGUUGGUGGGGUAAUGGCCCACCAAGCCUGCGAUCGGUACGGGCAGUGAGAGCUGAAGCCCGGAGUUGGGGACUGAGACAAGGCCCCAGGCCCUACGGGGCGCAGCAGGCGCGAAACCUCUGCAAUGCGGGAAACCGUGACAGGGGGAUCCCAAGUGCUCAUGCAUUGCAUGGGCUGUUCUUUGGUCUAAGUAACCAGAGGAGUAAGGGCUGGGCAAGACCGGUGCCAGCCGCCGCGGUAAUACCGGCAGCUCAAGUGGUAGCCGCGAUUAUUGGGCCUAAAGCGUUCGUAGCCGGAUAAGUAAGUCUUUGGUUAAAUCCUGCGACUUAACCGUGGGAAAUCUAGAGAUACUGCUUGUCUUGAGACCGGGAGAGGUUGGAGGUACUCCCAGGGUAGGGGUGAAAUCCUGU